RNAcentral lists this ribosomal RNA (454 nucleotides) under Arthonia phaeophysciae. RNAcentral describes it as "partial large subunit ribosomal RNA". It matches the Rfam family "Eukaryotic large subunit ribosomal RNA", at positions 178 to 646 of the family's 3401-position model. The record is from RNAcentral. Lineage: Eukaryota; Fungi; Ascomycota; Arthoniomycetes; Arthoniales; Arthoniaceae.
GGGCCAAGUUCCUUGGAACAGGACGCCCGAGAGGGUGAGAGCCCCGUACGCUCGGGACCCACCGCCGCUGAAAAAGCUCCUUCGACGAGUCGAGUUGUUUGGGAAUGCAGCUCUAAGUGGGAGGUAUAUUUCUUCUAAAGCUAAAUACCGGCCAGAGACCGAUAGCGCACAAGUAGAGUGAUCGAAAGAUGAAAAGCACUUUGGAAAGAGAGUUAAAAAGCACGUGAAAUUGUUGAAAGGGAAGCUCUUGCUGUCAGACUUGUCGGGGUGGUUCAGCCGUCUCUAGGGGCGGUGUACUCCAUCGUUGGCGGGCCAGCAUCAGCUUCGACGGCCGGACAAAGGCCCCGGGAAUGUAGCUCUCUUCGGGGGGUGUUUUAGCCCGGGACGUAAUGCGGCCAGUCGGGGCUGAGGGAUGCGUUUUUCUGCUAGGAUGCUGGCGUAAUGGCAGCAAGCG